UACGUAGGUGGCAAGCGUUGUCCGGAAUUAUUGGGCGUAAAGCGCGCGCAGGCGGUUUCUUAAGUCUGAUGUGAAAGCCCACGGCUCAACCGUGGAGGGUCAUUGGAAACUGGGAAACUUGAGUGCAGAAGAGAAAAGCGGAAUUCCACGUGUAGCGGUGAAAUGCGUAGAGAUGUGGAGGAACACCAGUGGCGAAGGCGGCUUUUUGGUCUGUAACUGACGCUGAGGCGCGAAAGCGUGGGGAGCAAACAGG
RNAcentral lists this ribosomal RNA (253 nucleotides) under uncultured bacterium. RNAcentral describes it as "partial 16S ribosomal RNA". It matches the Rfam family "Bacterial small subunit ribosomal RNA", at positions 524 to 776 of the family's 1533-position model. The record is from RNAcentral.